GAAUCUGCCCACUGAUGAAAAUUAAAGGGCUGCAGUAUUUUGACUGUACAAAGGUAGCAUAAUCAUUAGUCUCUUAAUUGGUGACUUGUAUGAAUGAUUUGAUGAGAUAUAAUCUGUCUCUAAUUUAUAAAUAGAAUUUAAUUUUUACAUUAAAAAGUUUAAAUAAAUUUAAAAGACGAGAAGACCCUAUAGAGUUUAAUAAAUUAAAUAAUUAAAAUAGUAUAUUAAUUAAAUAAAUUGAAAUUAUUUUAAUUUAUUUUGUUGGGGUGAUAGAAAAAUAAAAAAAACUUUUUUUUAAAAAAGACAUUAAUAAGUGAUUAUAUGAUCCAGAAAUUUUGAUUAUAAGAAAAAAUUACCUUAGGGAUAACAGCGUAAUUUUUUUUUUUAGUUCAAAUAAGAAAAAGAGUUUGCGACCUCGAUGUUGGAUUAAGAUAAAAUUUAAAUGCAAAAGUUUAAAAUUUUGAUCU
RNAcentral lists this ribosomal RNA (467 nucleotides) under Lepidoptera sp. BAH_28365_A02. RNAcentral's name for it is "partial 16S ribosomal RNA". The record is from RNAcentral. Lineage: Eukaryota; Metazoa; Arthropoda; Insecta; Lepidoptera.